AACUUAAUCUAUAGGAAUAUUCUACCAGUAAAUAUUUAUGAUAAUGGCCGGGAUUCGAACUCAUGCUACUGAGAUAUUGUGGCACCAAAACACCUCGCACUGUGCCUGACUUAAAUAUAUAUAUAUAUAUAUGUAUAAUCCUAUGAAUUGUCAAAAAAUUGUAUGGUCAGUUUCCUUUUAAUAUUUACAUAAAAAUUUUUCUACAGCAAC
RNAcentral lists this long non-coding RNA (210 nucleotides) under Mytilus galloprovincialis (Mediterranean mussel). The record is from RNAcentral. Lineage: Eukaryota; Metazoa; Mollusca; Bivalvia; Mytilida; Mytilidae.